This 27-nucleotide non-coding RNA is filed under the name Homo sapiens (human). The record is from RNAcentral. Lineage: Eukaryota; Metazoa; Chordata; Mammalia; Primates; Hominidae.
UGCAAAACACUAUCAGGGAUGCCCAGG